This is a long non-coding RNA of Salvia splendens (bonfire salvia), 3997 nucleotides long. RefSeq lists it as uncharacterized. Lineage: Eukaryota; Viridiplantae; Streptophyta; Magnoliopsida; Lamiales; Lamiaceae. The transcript is spliced from 21 exons. The record is from RefSeq and is a predicted model, not a curated record.
GGUCUAGGCAACUGGUAUGCUGUUUUAUCUUAUGAUGCAUCUGUCCGCCUAUGCCCCCACUCGUGGGCAAGGAGCUGUAUGGAGCUCCUCCCUUUUUGGAAAAUGAAUGCUCACUGCUGAGGGAUGUAUUAGGGUUAAGAAAUAUAUUAUUAAAAUCAGAGGAAAAGCUGACGAGGAAAGAUCAUUCUGAACUUGUGGGUGAAGGCGCUUACGUAAAGUCUAAGAAAACCAUCGGGAAGAUUAGAGGUCCAGUUCGUAAUGUGAAAAUGGGGACGAAGCAACCCACUGGUUUCACGUUUACAUCUUUAAAGUCUUCAUCCACGGUGAAGCUGGAAACAUUUCAGCAAAGGUUAUCAAAUGUGAAAUUGGUUGUUUCAUCCAACAAAAAGAAACAAAAAAAAGAAAAAAAAGAAACAAGGAAAAAAUGAAAAAAGAGAAAAAAAAAAUAAAAAAAAUCUGACAUUGUAAUAGGCUCUCUUUAUUGCAUAGAAGCGUUGCACACUUAAUUGUUGGGACUCAUGGAUACUUGAAAGAAGUACCCAUGCUCAUAAAGCGCAUCAACUUAUGAAUUGGUGCAAGAAUCAUAUUCUUGUAUGUUGAGAUUGAAAAGUUCGAUCGAAGAGGAUGCAUUGGGAAUGCAACCGGGACCUGCUUGCCAGGUGGAUUUGGAGAUGAUCUGAAUCUGAAUUAUAUUGUGGGCAUGUUCUUGUUCAGGUGGCUGACAUUUCUGAUGAAUCGGGGAAGAAGCGUGGUCAGUGUAUUAUAUCCGGGGAAAAAGAGCAUGAAAAAGCUGAGAAAAAUACAGCUAUACAUCAACUACUCAACCACUGCAGAUAAAGAUAGUUACAAGUGCAUAUCUGUAGCAGAAACUAUCGCUUAAGACUGUGUUUUGGAGACUGCGAUGAAAGGCCAACAGUUUCAGCACAGAAACUUGUUGCUACAUGGUUCGUGGAAAUGGUUGGUGGAUUCAUUUGCAUCUUUUCUGGAGUUUUAGAUGCAUACACAAAGCUCAGAUACCUUUCAUACGUUAUGGAUAUCUCCACAGCAACAGUAGAUUAUCUUGAUUUGGUGCACGACAUUCUGCUGCCCGUGGUAAUCAAAGACAAAAGUAAGCACACAUUGAGUCACUAAGAGGUUAAGCAUUGUCAGUAUUUUAUAUCUCGGGAACCAGAGCAAGAAAAAGCUGGGAAAAAUACAGCUAUACAUCAAAUAUUCAACCACUGCAGAUGAAAGUAGUUGCAAGGUAUGCAGAUGAAUAUAGUUACAAGAUAUAUGCAGAUGUUUUAUAGUUCAUGCUUAACGCCUAUUUCGUACAAAAUCAAGAUUCCAUCCUUCGGCGAGAGUGGCAUGACUAACUAUGUGUUAUGUCUAGUGCACAUACAUCUGUAGUAGAAAAUAUAGCUUACGACUAUGUUUUGGAGACUGCGAUGAGAGGCCAACAGUUUCAGCAAAGAAACUUGUUGUUGCUACAUGGUUUGUUGAUGAAUUUGGCGUUUUAGAUGCAUACACAAAAGCUCAGGUAUCAUGAUUUUGCAUUGCUGGUUACCUGGAACGGCUAUAUAUGUUUCCACUAUUGUAAAACGCAUUCUUACUCUUCGAUCGUUUAGAUACCUUUCAUACGUUAUGGAUUUCGCCACACCAACAGCAGAAUGUCUUGACUUUGUGCACCACUUUCUGAUUGAAUGUCUUGAUUGUUUUACUUAUCAGGUCCGUUUUCUGGGGGAAGUUUCUGUUCAAAUUGAGCAGAUACACACUCUGGUCUUUCAGAAUUACCAGGCACUUGAUGAAUAUUAAAGAUGUAUUGAAGCUCUACAAAUGGUUGCAUGAUAUUCUUUCACCCGAGGUUCUUAGUGAAGGCCUAUCAUGGAUGGUUUCUGCAGUGGAUGACUUUGGUACUUCUCAUAUUAAGCUGAAGCUUUAGGAAGGUUGAUAAAGUAACUGAUUCUACAUCAACUGCGGUGAGUGGUGGCAUCACUGGCAUGGAUGGUCUUCCACGUCAAGAUAUCAGUGAAAAGACUACCCCCCCCCCCCCGUUAAAAGGCUUAGAGGGUUCUGAUUUGAAGUGUAGGUCCGUUUGGAAUCUAUUGAAAGUGUGACCAAAAUUCUGGAAGAGGCGAACAAACCUAUUCUGCCUGCUGGAACUGGAGAUCUAUUUGGAGCUCUAAAAGGGCGUCCACACGACAGUAACAACAUUUUUUUAUUAUUGCUACUUUGUCCACAAUCGGUACUCUUACGACUGCAAUGGACUGCCAGUUGAGAAGUCAGGCAAGGUACUCUCGUAUACUAUUAGUUAUACUAUUAUUAAGAGUCUCUUGCGCUAACUAAAUGUGAGUUACAAUCCCAAUAUUAUAAAUACUUGGGAUCCUUUAGAUAAUCUUGAAAACGUCAAACACAAUAUUUGUACUUUUAAAUCCCAAUAUUCAAACUCUUCUGUCAUGUACAUAGCUCCUGUGAGGCUUGAUCAUUUACAUGAAUGUGGCUCAUGCAGGGCAUUCUUUCAGAUGCCUUGAAAUGCCUUGAGUGUACAAUGAGAGUACCAAUGCUUGGUGCUGCUCAUCUCGAUAAAAUGGUCUGUAGUCAUUUUAGAAAAUAGUGUUUUUCGACUUCCUGCUUUGAGUAUUGUUAACCUCACGCUUGCUGAUGUCUUUAGCGUUUAGCUACCAUAUAUUAUUCUCUCAGACGCUGAAAUAGGCAUAGAAGGGCGCAGGGAUCUUUUUAAAUGGCUAUCAAGAAGACAACUUACUGGAUUGGAUAAAUAAGCAGAUGGUUGUAAAGCGGCUGAAGCAUGCUUUAAUGAAAUAUUGAGAGGGUUUAUGGACAAGAAACGGUAUGAACAUCCAAAUUUUUUGUUACUUGAUUGAUGUUGGCCAACUCUUUUAGCUGCUAUGUGGCGCCUAGACCUAUCUUAUAUCUCUUCCCUUAUAUGUACCCAAAAAAUUGAGAUAUAUACAACAUUUUGCUUUAGCUGUUAUUAGCAAACAACUGAAGCCAUAUGGAGCUCUUCAAGGUAUUAUGCUACUUACAUUUAACUCAUUCAUCUCCUAGUAAAAAAAUAUAUUUAUGUUUUUCCACUUUUCCAUAUCAUUAUAUUGAUUUUUUUCGUGCCACAUCCAUUGCAGAUAAUUAUGAAUCUGGUAGAUCUGUUUCGUCAAGGUUAUCAGGUCAUAGCAAUUGCCACAACUGAAGGAUUCAAGAAUGAAGCUAAAAACAUGCUAGUUGCAUCUGGUAACAUUGAACAUGAUGGAUAGACAACGACGUGAAGAGGAGUUGAAAGGAAUGGAAGUUGUCUUCUUAUUUAAUGAAUGUCCAUGGCCAUAAAAUUGCUUGCUAUACCCAUGGGAUGAAAAAUGGUUGAUGUUAUUUCCUCUAAUUGCUUGGCGGGGGUACACAUCUUUUCAUAAGGAUGAGGGCCAUCGAAAUUCCAUGGCUUCUUCUCCUCCGAUGUUCAGUCCUUUUCGAUAACCGUUUUCGGAGUAACUCUUACCAGCCGCAUCGACAUGCUUCGUGAGAACCGGAAGCCAAAAAGGUAUUUUGAGAGCUAAUCUACUCACACCCACAAUUAGAUAUGCAGUGGCAUUGUGCUGUCAAUACAAUCUGCCUCGUCAGGUAUUGGAUAUAGGCCUCCUUACCCUUGGACAAUGGGAAUUAUUUGUUUCUUGCUGAGAUUUAUGCAAUGCCGAACAUGAAGAUGAUCCUCAAAUUUUAGAUUGAGUAUGCUACACCUAGCCCUCAUUCAUACGGAACUUUGACCGGGGAUUGACAAGUGAGUUAGCUUAGGAUAUUCUGACCAGCUUCCUUAUGCUCAAGGCCUUUUACAAGGACAAUCAGAAUAUGCAGUUAGUCAAGUCUCUCCACAUCCAUCACAUUUGUAUUAAAUACUUACUAACGAUCUAUUACUUUUGCAACAAACUUUUGUAUUGUCGCAGGUACAACAACUAAUAUUGAAAACCAAAUGGUUGUCAAUAAGAAGCUUUAUACUAUGGCUUCAUUCCAGUUA